Molecule: ribosomal RNA, 408 nt
Filed under: Triticum aestivum (bread wheat)
Lineage: Eukaryota; Viridiplantae; Streptophyta; Magnoliopsida; Poales; Poaceae
Description: partial small subunit ribosomal RNA
Source: RNAcentral
AUGAGAUUAUUCUUGGGUGAGGGAGCAAGCUUGGAAUGUGCGGUUUCAGGAAAAUAUAUCGAAACUUGUUGUGUUUCUAUGGCUUUUCUCAAGUGCAUGAAGCACCUACUUGAAGAAAUAUGCCAAGAAAUGCACCCAUUGGCAUCACGGGGGACGCCGGUGUACCAGGGCACAUGUUUCUUCUCAGGGCAUCACAUAGAUAUCCAAUGGUUCCUUGGCAAUACCGGGUUUCCGGGGCCAUCAGUUGUUCAUCCAAGACAUCGACAUCAUUUUGUCAGGAGUUGCAGUGGUGCUGUCAUACUGAAAGGCCAACAACCCCACGCUAGCAGCCCUAUUACUCUCCACAAAACUGGUGUCGAUAUUUAUCUUGAUAGAAUCCUACGGGGAGGAAAGAAACGUAGCUUUUGA